GAUGAACGCUGGCGGCGUGCUUAACACAUGCAAGUCGAACGGAAAGGCCGAAGCUUGCUUCGGUUCUCGAGUGGCGAACGGGUGUGUAACACGUGGGUGAUCUGCCCUGUAGUUGGGGAUAAGCUUGGGAAACUGGUACUAAUACAGGAGAUGAGAGGCUCAUGGAGGGGGUUGUGGAGAGCUCUUGCGGUCUGGGAUGAGUUCGCGGCCUAUCAGCGUGGGGGUGGGGAAGUGGCGUAACAGGGCGUCGACGGGUAGCAGGCCUGAGAGGGUGUACACACAGAUCGGGACUGUGAGGCAGGCCAGACUCGGGCAGGUGGCAGCAGUGGGGAAUAUUGGACAAAGGGCGGAAGCGUGUGGCAGCGAGGUCGCGUGAGGGAUGACGGCCUUCAGUUUGUAAACACCUCUCGCAGUCGACGAAGCCUUUUGGUGACGGUAGGUUCAGAAGAAGCACCGGCUAACUACGUG
This 468-nucleotide ribosomal RNA is filed under the name uncultured bacterium. Its description in RNAcentral is "partial 16S ribosomal RNA". It matches the Rfam family "Bacterial small subunit ribosomal RNA", at positions 28 to 507 of the family's 1533-position model. The record is from RNAcentral.